Molecule: long non-coding RNA, 1021 nt
Filed under: Fukomys damarensis (Damara mole-rat)
Lineage: Eukaryota; Metazoa; Chordata; Mammalia; Rodentia; Bathyergidae
Description: lncRNA (ENSFDAG00000029136.1)
Source: RNAcentral
CUAUUUCCUUAAAGAAAAGUUGAUGGUGUUGUGGAAAGAGAAGACAGUGAAAACCAAAACCAAUAUGAGUAAACUGGUAUUAUGUCAAAGUGGCAAGUAACUGCAAGUCCGGCCCACACACCCAAAAAAGUGAGAGGACACUCCAGGGUCUAAUUCCUACAGAUGCCAGAGUGAACCAGAGAGUGUUCCAUUUACUCUUGGAAGCAACAAGGAAAUGGGCUCUCAGAGACUAAAAAUAUUGGAAAUGAUGUUUGGCUACAAUGUAAAGAGACAACUUAAAGCUUUCUUGAAGUGAAGAACCACAAAAACAGAAAAACAAAUGGCAAUGCAUGGCAAAGAGAGCUGAGGAUCAAGAACUGUGUUCACAGGCAAGGCUGUGGAUAUGGAGAAUGCAUUAGUUUGUGUGUGCACAUAUAUGUAUGAUAUGCAAUAGUCAGGGUGGUGUGGCCAGUAUACUCUUGUGUUCUAAAAAAUGUUCAUAAUUAAACCGCAGCCUAAUUUAGUGUUCUAGAUUACGAUAAUUUAACUUUUUAGCACUGGGCAUAUAACAGGCCAUCAUGCAUGCUAGGCAAGCUCUGUACCUCUGGGAACACCCCCAGCCCCAAUUUGUCUUUAUGCACCUAAGAAGGUAACGCAACACAAUCAUGAGGUUAUUAGGUUCCUUCCCAUGCAAGAUUGUUUUGAAUGAAGUGAAUGCUGUGUAAAGUAUUAUCAGCCUAGUCCACAGGUAAAACUCAACUGCUGACAUGUAACUGCUUUUCACAGGUGGCCUCUGCAGUUUCCAUUUAGCGCACAAGUCUUCCACCUGGGAAAGUCCAGCUUGUCAGAGAUAUUUCCGGCUUGGUCUUAAAGUCACUAUAUGCUUUAGAGUGAUGUUUUCUAAAGCUGAACAUUAUUUGUAAAACUAUUUUUUCAUCUCUACUGAAACAAAAGUUAGGAACCACAAAUGUAAUCUUGAAAUCUUAGGAGGAAAUUACUGCCUGCAAAACACAUGUGAACACACACACACACACAUAUGCAU